AACGCACGAGACCUGCGGACCUGCGGAGGGAUCAUUACAGUAUAUUGAAUUCUUAUUCAUAUCAACCCACACUGUGUACCUUUUAUUUGUUGCUUCCAUGGGACAUGGCUCUGCCACGUCGGCCUCUGGGCUGAUGAGUUCCCAUGGAAGGAAACCCAUAACUCUUUUUAUUUUUGACAUCUGUCUGAAUAGUUUUUAUAAACGUUAAAACUUUCAACAACGGAUCUCUAGAUCGGAAGA
This 240-nucleotide unclassified non-coding RNA is filed under the name soil metagenome. RNAcentral describes it as "partial contains 5.8S ribosomal RNA, internal transcribed spacer 2, and large subunit ribosomal RNA". The record is from RNAcentral.